This 477-nucleotide ribosomal RNA is filed under the name uncultured bacterium. Its description in RNAcentral is "partial 16S ribosomal RNA". It matches the Rfam family "Bacterial small subunit ribosomal RNA", at positions 28 to 507 of the family's 1533-position model. The record is from RNAcentral.
GAUGAACGCUGGCGGCGUGCCUAAUACAUGCAAGUCGAGCGAACAGACGAGGAGCUUGCUCCUCUGACGUUAGCGGCGGACGUGUGAGUCACACGUGGAUAACCUCCCUAUAAGACUGGGAUAACUUCGGGAAACCGGAGCUAAUACCGGAUAAUAUCUUGAACCGCAUGGUUCAAUAGUGAAAGACGGUUUUGCUGUCAGUUAUAGAUGGAUCCGCGCCGUAUCAGCUAGUUGGUAGGGUAACGGCUUACCAAGGCGAUGAUGGGUAGCCGGCCUGAGAGGGUGACCGGCCACAGUGGGACUGAGAUACGGCCCAGACUCCUACGGGAGGCAGCAGUGGGGAAUAUUGCACAAUGGGCGAAAGCCUGAUGCAGCAACGCCGCGUGCGGGAUGACGGCCUUCGGGUUGUAAACCGCUUUCGCCAGUGACGAAGCGUGAGUGACGGUAACGGGUAAAGAAGCACCGGCUAACUACGUG